UAAUAGAUACCCCGGUAGUCCACGCCGUAAACGAUGAAUGCUAGGUGUUAGGGGUUUCGAUACCCUUGGUGCCGAAGUUAACACAUUAAGCAUUCCGCCUGGGGAGUACGGCCGCAAGGCUGAAACUCAAAGGAAUUGACGGGGACCCGCACAAGCAGUGGAGUAUGUGGUUUAAUUCGAAGCAACGCGAAGAACCUUACCAGGUCUUGACAUCCCCCUGACCGGUCUAGAGAUAGGCCUUUCCUUCGGGACAGGGGAGACAGGUGGUGCAUGGUUGUCGUCAGCUCGUGUCGUGAGAUGUUGGGUUAAGUCCCGCAACGAGCGCAACCCUUGACUUUAGUUGCCAGCAGGUAAGGCUGGGCACUCUAGAGUGACUGCCGGUGACAAACCGGAGGAAGGUGGGGAUGACGUCAAAUCAUCAUGCCCCUUAUGACCUGGGCUACACACGUACUACAAUGGCCGGUACAACGGGAAGCGAAGCCGCGAGGUGGAGCGAAUCCUAGAAAAGCCGGUCUCAGUUCGGAUUGCAGGCUGCAACUCG
Molecule: ribosomal RNA, 541 nt
Filed under: uncultured bacterium
Lineage: Bacteria
Description: bacterial SSU rRNA
Rfam family: Bacterial small subunit ribosomal RNA
Source: RNAcentral